UACGGGGGGGGGCAAGCGUUGUUCGGAAUUACUGGGCGUAAAGGGCUCGUAGGCGGCCAACUAAGUCAGACGUGAAAUCCCUCGGCUUAACCGGGGAACUGCAUCUGAUACUGGAUGGCUUGAGUUCGGGAGAGGGAUGCGGAAUUCCAGGUGUAGCGGUGAAAUGCGUAGAUAUCUGGAGGAACACCGGUGGCGAAGGCGGCAUCCUGGACCAACACUGACGCUGAGGCGCGAAAGCGUGGGGAGCAAACAGG
Molecule: ribosomal RNA, 254 nt
Filed under: uncultured bacterium
Lineage: Bacteria
Description: partial 16S ribosomal RNA
Rfam family: Bacterial small subunit ribosomal RNA
Source: RNAcentral